ACUCAACAUUAUUAAGUUUAAAAAGGGUGAGUUUAAGUUGUAAAAGCGGGCCCUACUUGUAUAGGGAUUAUUGAGCAACUUGUUAACCCUAAACCUGUUAUAUCGGAGUUU
RNAcentral lists this small nuclear RNA (111 nucleotides) under Hippocampus comes (tiger tail seahorse). RNAcentral's name for it is "6S-Flavo RNA (ENSHCOG00000010595.1)". It matches the Rfam family "6S-Flavo RNA". Lineage: Eukaryota; Metazoa; Chordata; Actinopteri; Syngnathiformes; Syngnathidae. The record is from RNAcentral.